CUCCCGAGUUGCUGGGAUUACAGGCGCGCGCCACCACAACCGGCUAAUUUUUUUUGUAGAGACGGGAUUUCACAAUGUUGGCCAGGCUGAUCUCGAACUUCUGACCUCAGGUGAUCCGCCCGCCUCGGCCUCCCAAGGUGCUGGGAUUACAAGUGUGAGCCACCGCCCGCGGCCGGUAGAACAUCUGAAGCUUCUAAAGCGAACUCUAAGGUUUCAUUUGCACGAGGGUCUCGAACCACGCCAGGCUUCCAGGCGUCAGUGCCCAGUGCUUGGCAUCUACUGAUAGAAACCAGGAAUGAGGGGCUGGAGGCGGAAACAGCUUGAAGAAAGAGGUAGAGGCCAGGGAGUGAGGACGGUGUCUCCUUUUCCUGGAAGUUGGCAGGAAGUGACGCGCGUGGCCCGGGAGCUGCGGUCGCAGAGGCCGACGGAGCCGGAGUCGCGGACGCCGCGGGG
This 453-nucleotide small RNA is filed under the name Pan troglodytes (chimpanzee). Its description in RNAcentral is "processed transcript". The record is from RNAcentral. Lineage: Eukaryota; Metazoa; Chordata; Mammalia; Primates; Hominidae.